Molecule: long non-coding RNA, 848 nt
Organism: Actinia tenebrosa (Australian red waratah sea anemone)
Lineage: Eukaryota; Metazoa; Cnidaria; Anthozoa; Actiniaria; Actiniidae
Source: RefSeq, a predicted model, not a curated record
ACUAUUGGCUGGGGACAAUUUAGUGUUUCUUGGGAACGAAGAUCAGUGAUGCUGCAACAGAAAUCGUCCGCCCCCCUCCCCACCCCCCUCCCAAAUUCGAUAAUUCGAUAAAUAAUGACCGGUUCCUUGGACUUUAUAGAUACACUGCGAAAUCUCUAUAUUCCCUCUGUUCAUGUAGAGUUUUAUGUCCUUUUAUGGCUGUGAUUUCAAUGAUAAGAGAACUAAAAAGGCUCCGUCAUUGAGAACGACACGAAAAGUGAACUUAUUGGAGCGAUUGGAUAAACAAUUUAACAAUCAUUUUAUUGGAAAAAUCCUUAUCAGAAAAACACUUAAGCUAGAAGGCUUAAGCACCUUUCUAGAGCUUUCUAUCGCUGAGAUUCCUUCGUCUAUCGUGUUUGAAAGCAUCUCUCAUCAGUGAUUACUGAGCUGAUCUUGUCAAAAGCCAUAAUACAACAAAAGAAUGUUGUCUGUGUUUAAUACCCGCUUGAGGCAAAUUUGCUGCUUUUAAAACCUUGAUACCCUUAAACGACCUUUGUCUUUGAGCUGAACAAMAGUCAGGGCACUGCUAACUCACAGAUUGAAUUGGAUUUAAAGUAUUAGCCUAGGUUUUGCGGAGGGGAGGAAAACUGGAGAACCCAGAGAAAAACUAGUGUUUUCAUUCGAAUCACGGGAGAGAAUGGCUGUGGUAAAACAGUGAUUCCAAAAUGGAAAUAAGGAAGGAUUCAAAUGAGGCGGGGAAUUGUCUUGUGAAGUGAAGUGGAUUGCCCAGCAGCAUCAAGGGUCAUGUCAUCAUUCUUGCUUGACAAUCAACUUGAAAAUAAAAUCAUAAUAAAAAAUAUAAAUAUUUA